AGAACCGUGGGGUUCUAUACUUGGCCAAUAGAACCUUUUACCAAAAAAAGGGUUCCAUAUAGAACCCUUGGAAGGCAAAGAACCAUUUUUAUUAAAAUGGUUCUAUAAUUCACGUUUUGUGACUGAAGUGUAAACUAAAGAUUACACAAUAAUUGCAGACCUACACAACUCAUUUACAAACCUACACAACUCAUUCACAAACCUUUUUGUGUCAAUAGGCUGUGGUCAAAUAAAGAGAGAGUCAACAAAUAGGCUAUUAAUAUUUAGUGUAUGAUUUAUUUCCUGUGAGCUUUUUUAUGCAAGUUUGUACAUUAGCAUGAAACUUACAGUGCAGUUUGCGUUUUUGGUGAAUUACCAGGUGUUUUCUUUAUUUUGUACAUUCUAAAUUGUCAAUGUUUAUUUAAUUUAACCUGAAGGGGCAUUAAAAACAAAUAAUCGCAAAAGUGCCCUCUGGUGGCGUAUAUAUGCGUUGCACCAUAAGCGAAGAUGAGCCUCGUGACGUGACAGUUUUUUUUCAAACUGAGGUGAGGAGUUCGGACUCCGGACCGGCAUUUGUUUGUACCCUGAGAUAACCAUGGUUAAUAAAUGAUCAGACACGUCACUGGCUUUAAAAUAUAAACCCCAUUGAUGCAAAAAGAUGCUGCAUGGAAUGACAAUGAGGUUUGGAACAGACUUGGUGAAGAACAUGGAAACAUUUCUAAAUAAAAUGGCCCCAAACAUCAUCAGGAGUGCAAAAGAAGGAAGUAAAAAAACAUCUCUACGCCAAUCUCAUUGGAGAGGAAACCACAGAAGGUCUGGUGAGGAAUGCUGCACUUAUGUUAUUGCCAGCAUUAUUUCAAGAAAAUCCCAGCUUCCUUGACUGUGUAAAUAGUGAACCCAAAGGUCCCACACCAACCAUAGUGUUCAACGGCUCUCCUGAUCUUCUCAAAUCUGAAAGUAUCAACUUUAUAAUGGACAAUGUGAACUUAAUAUGUGGAAGACAUUGACAUCACAGGCUGUGGAAUGACUGUGUCACAGGUCGGAGAAGCGGACCGCCCCUGUCGCGGAUCACGCUCCUCCUAGUUCCACCUCGAGGAGGUCCCAAAGCACCCCAAUGACCAGACAAACCAGAGAUAAGUAAAAUAUAAAAAUAGAAACUUUAUUUAAAUUAUUUAAAACUAAAGUGGGGAAUGGGAAUCUAAAAAUCUCGCUUCUCGCCCUCAGGGGGAGUAUUACGGGGCCAGGGACGUUGGAGGGGUUUCCACGUGACUCCAGCUGGAACACCGCUAGAGAGCGUAUCUGGGUGGGUUGGGCACACACCGUCGCGGCGGCCCCUGAUGGCAUCCACAAAGGUCCAAGACCCUCCUAAGCUCCCAGCCGUAGCAGAACUACGUAUUUCAGCACCCGAACGACUAACAACCCAGCCGGCAUCUGCAGCGUAUAUCCAACGAGAUCAAACUUCACUCUGACAAGUAACUUGCUAUACACAACCACGCCGUCCUUUCGCCCGGACCAGCCCCGCACUCUUUCCGCCCGCUACCUAGCGGUCGCCGGAUCAGCAGAGCCUGCGGACUCUUCGGACUCUGCGACCCUUACAGUAACUUCUACCUUCUCUCUUUAUAUCGUCCUCCAUGGCGUGGCUCGCCCAACCAUCGCUCGCCAUGUCACUCACACAGCUGUGCCUUGUUUCAGUGAGUGCGGGGAUUCCCGGGGAACCCGGAAGUGCCGGUGUCUGUACAAACCGGUCCGGGCGGAACCUCUUCACUCUCCUUUUGGUUCCGCCCCGCAUAGUCACUCCGUGACAACUGUUUGCGUUUUUUUUUCCUCCUCAAUGUUCAAUACCCUUUUGCCAUUAAGCACACAGUGACAUUAAUUUAUAAAAUAUAUGCUUAAGUUUUAAUACCUGUACAAAACAAAUGUAAAAUCAACUUGUGUAAAUUGUCAUUUUAUUUAAUAGAUUGUUCAUGAAUUGUCUUUAAAUGCAUUGUGAUUUCGGUAACACUUUACAAUAAGGUUCAUUAGUUAACAUUAGUUAAUGUAUUAACUAACUUGAACAAACCACGAGCAAUACAUUUGUUACAGUAUUUAUUCAUCUUUGUUAAUGUUAGUUAAUAAAAAUUUAAGCUUUAAUUGCUUGUUCAUGUUAGUUCAGAGUGCAUUAACUAAUGUUAACAAGAUUUUAAUAAAGUAUAAGUAAUUGUUGAAAUUAACAUUAACAAAGAUUAAUAAAGGCUGUAUAAGUGCAGUUCAUUAUUAGUUCAUGUUAACUAAUGUAGCUAACUAAUGUUAACUAAUGAACCUUAUUGUAAAGUGUUACCGUGAUUUCUUUUCAUCAUUUCAGACACAUGUAAAAGUUACUAAAACUUAGUACUGCCUAUACUGUACAGUAUCUAUGCGUAAGGGAAAUAACUUGAACAAAAUUUUUUAUGUAUAGUGUAAUUAAUAGUUUAGCUGUUUAAUACAGAGAUGCAAUAUAUAUAUAUGUAUAUGUAUGUUUAUUAAAAAGUGAAAAUGCUUAAUGGAAAUAAUUAAAUAACUAAAUGGUUGAAUGUAAUGAGACAUUUUAAAUGUAAACCAAAGUUUUGCUGUCUAAUACAGAAUAAAGAGAUGUGAUUUUAAGUAAUUUUUAUAGAUUUAUAUUUCUGUAUAAUACAAUUAAUAAAUAGUAAACUUUUAUAA
Misgurnus anguillicaudatus (oriental weatherfish) is the source of this 2658-nucleotide non-coding RNA. The record is from RefSeq and is a predicted model, not a curated record. NCBI's taxonomy places the organism in Eukaryota, Metazoa, Chordata, Actinopteri, Cypriniformes, Cobitidae.